RNAcentral lists this long non-coding RNA (1286 nucleotides) under Oncorhynchus mykiss (rainbow trout). Its description in RNAcentral is "lncRNA (ENSOMYG00000058308.1)". Lineage: Eukaryota; Metazoa; Chordata; Actinopteri; Salmoniformes; Salmonidae. The record is from RNAcentral.
AUGGGAGACAACUUAAACAGCAACACCAUCGCUGCCCUCGGCAGAGAGAGUACAGGUCUGUCUGAGGGUCAGAUCACCAUGGCACCCGCCAGCGUUCUGUGGGCUUCCUUCAGCAUUCUGAGCACUGUGAUUGGCUGGAACCAGGGCCAGGCCAUGGCCAUCAUCCAAUCACUGAUGCUGUCAGGAGCCGUGAAGAUCAACAGCGCAUCCACCUUGACAGCGCUGGGUUCCCUGGUGACCGGUGUUCCCUCGGCAACCUUAGGCAGCAUCAGCGGCACGGAACUCCUCUACGCGUCCCAGGAUCCCACAUUCAUAACAUACAUGCAGACCGCCCCGACGAUCUUAAUCCAGACUUUCGUCACUCAGGUACCGUGUCGCAGUUAAAGUCUUCCUCACUUAACCUUUUGGUUCCUACUAUGAGAACUGUUGAGUAUUUCCAGUUAAUUCUAUAGCAGUGAUAAACAUUUCUUAGCUGAAUGCUUGUAAUAUAGAUGGAUAAAAGGAUGGAUGUUUAACUGACCAACAAACUGAUUGAUUAAUGUGGUGUCUAUUCUCCCCAUAGGGUUGACUGAUUGAUUAAUGUGGUGUCUAUUCUCCCCAUCCAGUUGACUGAUUGAUUAAUGUGGUGUCUAUUCUCCCCAUACAGUUGACUGAUUGAUUAAUGUGGUGUCUAUUCUCCCCAUACAGUUGACUGAUUGAUUAAUAUGGUGUCUAUUCUCCCCAUAGGGUUGACUGAUUGAUUGAUAUGGUGUCUAUUCUCCCCAUAGGGUUGACUGAUUGAUUAAUAUGGUGUCUAUUCUCCCCAUCCAGUUGACUGAUUGAUUCAUGUGGUGUCUAUUCUCCCCAUACAGUUGACUGAUUGAUUAAUGUGGUGUCUAUUCUCCCCAUACAGUUGAUCACAGUGAACCCUAACCCAGACAGUAUUCUCCAGAACGUCCCAGACAGCAUGUCUACUGAGAUCCCCAGGUCCCUGCUGCAGGGCUUCUCUCAGAGCAGUGUGGUGGUGGAGAAACUGAACCAGAAGACAUGGAGACACGAACAGGUGACGGGGAGCACACACACACACACACACACACACACACACACACACACACACACACACACACACACACACACACACACACACACACACACUCUGAAUUUAAGAAACUAUAAUACUGUUCUUUUAUUUUCAGGCUGUGUUGUUCUUUGACACAGUGGCUCUAGGAAUUGACAACUCCGACAAGUGAGUCUGGGAACAUCUGCAUAUUGUGAUGUACAGUAUAUAUACACAGAUAUAUAUAUAU